RNAcentral lists this microRNA precursor (83 nucleotides) under Myotis brandtii (Brandt's bat). RNAcentral's name for it is "mir-9236 microRNA precursor family". Lineage: Eukaryota; Metazoa; Chordata; Mammalia; Chiroptera; Vespertilionidae. The record is from Rfam by way of RNAcentral.
UUUACUUCUCUAGUUGUAGGACUUCCAUUCAGCCAGCUUUCUGGCAGUUCUGGAUGAUGGUAGUUCUGUAUUUUAGUUGUGGU